RNAcentral lists this ribosomal RNA (305 nucleotides) under uncultured bacterium. RNAcentral describes it as "bacterial SSU rRNA". It matches the Rfam family "Bacterial small subunit ribosomal RNA", at positions 337 to 640 of the family's 1533-position model. The record is from RNAcentral.
ACCUACGGGGGGCAGCAGUGAGGAACAUUGGUCAAUGGGCGGGAGCCUGAACCAGCCAAGCCGCGUGAGGGAAGAAGGUACAGCGUAUCGUAAACCUCUUUUGUCAGGGAACAAAGGCGGGGACUAGUCCCCGGAUGAGGGUACCUGAAGAAAAAGCAUCGGCUAACUCCGUGCCAGCAGCCGCGGUAAUACGGAGGAUGCGAGCGUUAUCCGGAUUUAUUGGGGUUAAAGGGUGCGCAGGCGGCCUGUUAAGUCAGCGGUAAAAGCCCGGGGCUCAACCCCGGCGAGCCGUUGAAACUGGCGGG